Molecule: ribosomal RNA, 437 nt
Filed under: Pseudomonas putida
Lineage: Bacteria; Pseudomonadati; Pseudomonadota; Gammaproteobacteria; Pseudomonadales; Pseudomonadaceae
Description: bacterial SSU rRNA
Rfam family: Bacterial small subunit ribosomal RNA
Source: RNAcentral
GAGUAAUGCCUAGGAAUCUGCCUGGUAGUGGGGGACAACGUUUCGAAAGGAACGCUAAUACCGCAUACGUCCUACGGGAGAAAGCAGGGGACCUUCGGGCCUUGCGCUAUCAGAUGAGCCUAGGUCGGAUUAGCUAGUUGGUGAGGUAAUGGCUCACCAAGGCGACGAUCCGUAACUGGUCUGAGAGGAUGAUCAGUCACACUGGAACUGAGACACGGUCCAGACUCCUACGGGAGGCAGCAGUGGGGAAUAUUGGACAAUGGGCGAAAGCCUGAUCCAGCCAUGCCGCGUGUGUGAAGAAGGUCUUCGGAUUGUAAAGCACUUUAAGUUGGGAGGAAGGGCACUUAGCUAAUACCUUGGUGUUUUGACGUUACCGACAGAAUAAGCACCGGCUAACUCUGUGCCAGCAGCCGCGGUAAUACAGAGGGUGCAAGCGU